Long non-coding RNA from Labrus bergylta (ballan wrasse), 768 nucleotides. RefSeq lists it as uncharacterized. NCBI's taxonomy places the organism in Eukaryota, Metazoa, Chordata, Actinopteri, Labriformes, Labridae. The record is from RefSeq and is a predicted model, not a curated record.
UUUUUCUACAACUGUAACACUUUACUGUCACUUAAAUAUGCUUUCCUCAAACUACAUCUUGAAUAUUAAUGUAUUGUUUGUAUCUCUGCUAUCAGGACUGUCAAAGAAAUUGGACACACAAAACAAAGACUGUCAGGUGCUGUAUAAGUGGCUCCAUCCCAUCAAGAACCACAUUUACUGGAGUGCAACUUCUACAUCAGGACCAGAGAAGGUGGCCAAGUUCACAUCCAUGUUCAACCACAUUCAGGAUGUGCAUGAGCAUGACAACUCAUCCCAAGAAAGUGACAAGGAAUCCAAAGAAGUGGUUCUAACCAGGGUCAGUGGCUCUACAUCAAGUGGGGAAACGCAUGAACAACAACAGGGUCUUGAAGGUGGUGGAGAAGCUGAGUCAACACUAUCAAACCUUCGCUCUAGAGUCGUGCCACAUCCUGCUGCUUAGUCUCGCACCAAACAAAGUGGUCUUUCCGUUCAUGGGAAUGUUCUACAGCAAAAAUGCUGAACGUGAUCAAACAACAGGACAACUGAUGUAUAAGGCAAGCCCGUCAAAACAGACUAAACAAAGCUACCGUGCAGCUGUCCAAGAGUUUUGAAGUUGUGAUGAAGAAUACAAAUGUAUUCCAAAAUGACUUUUUCAAAUCAGAAGGUAUUUUUUUCUGUCUUUGUUGAAACAUGUUUUUAAUGACUUUCCUCUUCGCUGUACAGAUGUUGAAUGGAGUUUGUACCAAGAUGUUUUCAAGUAAAAAGAUUCUCCCAGCUGCUGCAAAAUGA